Molecule: non-coding RNA, 108 nt
Organism: Paramuricea clavata
Lineage: Eukaryota; Metazoa; Cnidaria; Anthozoa; Malacalcyonacea; Plexauridae
Source: the annotation of a GenBank genome assembly
AGUCGAAUUGUAAUCAAGACCCAACGUUUCAACACUCCAAUCUAGUGUCUUGUAAUUUUAGAUCACACUAGACUGGAGUGUCGAAACGUUGGGUCUUGAUUACAAUUC